RNAcentral lists this ribosomal RNA (255 nucleotides) under uncultured bacterium. RNAcentral describes it as "partial 16S ribosomal RNA". It matches the Rfam family "Bacterial small subunit ribosomal RNA", at positions 524 to 776 of the family's 1533-position model. The record is from RNAcentral.
UACGGGGGCCUCAAGCGUUAUCCGAUGUAACUUGGCGUAAAGCGUGUGUAGGCGGUGGGUUAAGUUACUUCUCAAAUAUCUCGUCCCAAGCGAGAAAAGGGGAGUGAUACUGACUCUACUAGAGUUAUUUUUAGGGAAAUUGGAAUUUACGGAGGAGUAGUGAAAUGCGUUGAUACCGUAAAGAACACCGAUGGCGAAGGCAGAUUUCUGGAAAGUAACUGACGCUGAGACACGAAAGCUAGGGGAGCGAACCGG